GGCGCAGGCGGUUUUUUAAGUCUGAUGUGAAAAGCCUUCGGCUCAACCGAAGAAGUGCAUCGGAAACUGGGAAACUUGAGUGCAGAAGAGGACAGUGGAACUGCAUGUGUAGCGGUGAAAUGCGUAGAUAUAUGGAAGAACACCAGUGGCGAAGGCGGCUGUCUGGUCUGUAACUGACGCUGAGGCUCGAAAGUAUGGGUAGCAAACAGGAUUAGAUACCCUGGUAGUCCAUACCGUAAACGAUGAAUGCUAAGUGUUGGAGGGUUUCCGCCCUUCAGUGCUGCAGCUAACGCAUUAAGCAUUCCGCCUGGGGAGUACGGCCGCAAGGCUGAAACUCAAAGGAAUUGACGGGGGCCCGCACAAGCGGUGGAGCAUGUGGUUUAAUUCGAAGCUACGCGAAGAACCUUACCAGGUCUUGACAUACUAUGCAAAUCUAAGAGAUUAGACGUUCAGCCUUCGGGGACAUGGAUACAGGUGGUGCAUGGUUGUCGUCAGCUCGUGUCGUGAGAUGUUGGGUUAAGUCCCGCAACGAGCGCAACCCUUAUUUAUCAGUUGCCAGCAUUAAGUUGGGCACUCUGGUGAGACUGCCGGUGACAAACCGGAGGAAGGUGGGGAUGACGUCAAAUCAUCAUGCCCCUUAUGACCUGGGCUACACACGUGCUACAAUGGAUGGUACAACGAGUUGCGAACUCGCGAGAGUAAGCUAAUCUCUUAAAGCCAUUCUCAGUUCGGAUUGUAGGCUGCAACUCGCCUACAUGAAGUCGGAAUCGCUAGUAAUCGCGGAUCAGCAUGCCGCGGUGAAUACGUUCCCGGGCCAUAUUGUACACACCGCCCGUCACACCAUGAGAGUUUGUAACACCCAAAGUCGGUGGGGUAACCUUUUAGGAACC
RNAcentral lists this ribosomal RNA (890 nucleotides) under Lactiplantibacillus plantarum. RNAcentral describes it as "bacterial SSU rRNA". It matches the Rfam family "Bacterial small subunit ribosomal RNA", at positions 568 to 1450 of the family's 1533-position model. The record is from RNAcentral. Lineage: Bacteria; Bacillati; Bacillota; Bacilli; Lactobacillales; Lactobacillaceae.